UGGGGAAUAUUGCACAAUGGGCGCAAGCCUGAUGCAGCCAUGCCGCGUGUAUGAAGAAGGCCUUCGGGUUGUAAAGUACUUUCAGCGGGGAGGAAGGGAGUAAAGUUAAUACCUUUGCUCAUUGACGUUACCCGCAGAAGAAGCACCGGCUAACUCCGUGCCAGCAGCCGCGGUAAUACGGAGGGUGCAAGUGUUAAUCGGAAUUACUGGGCGUAAAGCGCACGCAGGCGGUUUGUUAAGUCAGAUGUGAACUCCCCGGGCUCAACCUGGGAACUGCAUCUGAUACUGGCAAGCUUGAGUCUCGUAGAGGGGGGUAGAAUUCCAUGUGUAGCGGUGAAAUACGUAGAGAUGUGGAGGAAUACCGGUGGCGAAGGCGGCCCCCUGGACAAAGACUGACGCUCAGGUGCGAAAGCGUGGGGAGCAAACAGG
RNAcentral lists this ribosomal RNA (429 nucleotides) under Chloroflexota bacterium. RNAcentral describes it as "Chloroflexi bacterium partial 16S ribosomal RNA". It matches the Rfam family "Bacterial small subunit ribosomal RNA", at positions 355 to 776 of the family's 1533-position model. Lineage: Bacteria; Bacillati; Chloroflexota. The record is from RNAcentral.